RNAcentral lists this transfer RNA (72 nucleotides) under Camelus bactrianus (Bactrian camel). It matches the Rfam family "tRNA". From Rfam's summary of the family: Transfer RNA (tRNA) molecules are approximately 80 nucleotides in length. Their secondary structure includes four short double-helical elements and three loops (D, anti-codon, and T loops). RNAcentral also lists the same sequence under 1 other name. The record is from Rfam by way of RNAcentral. Lineage: Eukaryota; Metazoa; Chordata; Mammalia; Artiodactyla; Camelidae.
GAGGGUGUAGCUCAGGGGUAGAGCGUGUGCUUAGCAGGCACGAGGUCCUGGGUUCAAUCCCCGGUACCUCCA